UACGUAGGGUGCGAGCGUUAUCCGGAAUUACUGGGCAUAAAGGGUGCGUAGGUGGCGCGGUGCGUCUGUGGUGAAAGUCUUCGGCCCAACCGGAGAAUAGCCGCGGAUACGGCCGUGCUUGAGUGCAUUAGGGGUAGGGGGAACGAGCAGUGUAGCGGUGAAAUGCGUAGAUAUUGCUCGGAAGGCCAGUGCCGAAGGGGCCCUACUGGGAUGCAACUGACACUGAGGCACGAAAGCGUGGGGAGCAAACAGG
Molecule: ribosomal RNA, 253 nt
Filed under: uncultured bacterium
Lineage: Bacteria
Description: partial 16S ribosomal RNA
Rfam family: Bacterial small subunit ribosomal RNA
Source: RNAcentral